Molecule: long non-coding RNA, 1412 nt
Filed under: Triticum aestivum (bread wheat)
Lineage: Eukaryota; Viridiplantae; Streptophyta; Magnoliopsida; Poales; Poaceae
Description: long non-coding RNA (TAES_LNC019010)
Source: RNAcentral
AUUAUACAUGAUAUGAUUCCCAAUAUGUUAAGUGCAUGCUUGCAUCCAUCCACUCUGGGGUACAGUUUUAUGUGAGAUACAUCAGAGGGGAGACGGGAGAUACACACGCAUGCUUAACACAACAAACUCCGGUGCCUGAUCGUAUCUUUAGGUUACUGAUGUGAGAUACAUGCGGCAUGUUUGCAUGCAUGGCCGCUUGACCAGAAUGGCCGCCCGUGAGACUUGCUCAUAUGAGAAAUGACCAUACGGAUUAGCUUGAGAUCGCAAGAACAAAGUUUUGAAGCAUUCUAUUACCUCCCAACCAUACAGAGUACUAUCCAUGCAAGGACGCAGGUUGUACGUUGGCUUCUGGGUGAAUUCAAGAAAAACAGUGAUGGGCUGGCUGCUACACUACUACUUCCUACUGCUAGCUUGUAUUUGUAUUUCUGCUGCUAUUUGUGCACCUGAACCUUGUAUCUCUGCUCCUGAACCUUGUAUUUGUGCUUCUGAAGACCUGCACCAUGUAUUUGUGAUGCUAUUUGUGCUCUUGAACCUUGUAUUUGCCUUCCUGAUAUUGUGUUUUCUAGCUGUUCUACUAUGUAUUCACAUUGAUGGUUAGUAACUGAAGCUAUUUGUGCAUUUUUGUCACUGUGUGAACCAAUAUUCGUUAUAUGAAUUUUGCCACUACUCUGUUAUACACUGUACAAGAACAAUAUACAGCAGCCCGAUGGGUAACCCAUCGGGUCGGGUUACCCAUUGGGUUCGGGCGUGGGUCUGAUCCUUCGCCCAUGGGCAGGGUCGUGGGCAACUGGGUAGACCCAUUUAGUAAUCGGGCAUGGGUUUGGUAGACCUCGACCCGGGCAAACCCGACCCGACUGCCAGGUUGACUCUGGGGUACAGUUUUAUGUGAGAUACAUCAGAGGGGAGACGGGAGAUACACACGCACGCUUAACACAACAAACUCCGGUGCCUGAUCGUAUCUUUAGGUUACUGAUGUGAGAUACAUGCGGCAUGUUUGCAUGCAUGGCCGCUUGACCAGAAUGGCCACCCGUGAGACUUGCUCAUAUGAGAAAUGACCAUACGGAUUAGCUUGAGAUCGCAAGAACAAAGUUUUGAAGCAUUCUAUUACCUCCCAGCCAUACAGAGUACUAUCCAUGCAAGGACGCAGGUUGUACGUUGGCUUCUGGGUGAAUUCAAGAAAAACAGUGAUGGGCUGGGUUAGCUUGAACCCAUGAUGACGAUGGCGCCGACAGCACACGAUCAACACUUCAGCUUGUAGGAUUGAACGACCAGAUCGAGACUCAUGUCGGCAAGACGGCCGUGUUGGCUACGACUCUCGGAGGAAGUGAAGUUGGGUGUGGAGAAGGGGGCAGCCGGAAGAAUAGUAGAGCUAUGAACGGGCUCUUGAUUUCAAAGUGCUUUAUAGAUCAAAG